UGGGGCAAGGGAUGAAAGGAGCUUCAGACUCCACCAUUCACGUUUCAAACUCAACAUCCAUGACUCUCUCCCUCUCAUUCUAACUCUCUUAAUCGGAAAUCACUCCGCCGUGCAAGAGGCGGCAAAGCAACCCAACUUGGCCCAUAAUCACCACCAUUAAGACCAUAUCACUAUCCUCUUUCCACUUCUUGUAUCAAUUUCUUAUGAAACUCACUCAAGCAUCUUAUCCCUCAAACAAACAUCAAGAACUCUAAGUCCUAAAUCCAAAAUUAAAUUACCAAGACCCACUAAUCUGAACUCAAACCUUAGGGGUUUGGUUUACCUACUCAAACAUUACAUCCUGGUAACAAUAUUGGAGCAACGAAGUGAAAAUUUGAAGGGCCUACCUACAAGGAGAAUGCUUACCUUGGAAAUUGUUGAAGAUGAAAAUGAUGAAGCUUCCGAGAAAGCCAGAGGAGAAAUACAAUAAGGGCAAAUGCUCAUUUGGUAGAGUAAUCAUGGCUUGGUAUGAAGUAUUUCUCAUGAAGUCCAUUAUAGUUUGUCAUGACAUGUAUUAAGGUUCUCUUAUGAAUAGAUUUUGGGCACAGGAAUGGAGAUUUAUGGGGACGAAGACAAAAGAGUUUUAGUAGACUUUAGGAUCAUAUUGACUUUGGUCAACUUUGUAACCAAAAAGUCAACAGUUGAUCAAAAGUCCCCCCAAUGUCAAGUGUAAUUUUUUGUGUAAUUUUGUACUUUUGGCUUCCUUGUGUAAUGUAUUUGAAGAUCUUGUAAUGAAACAUAAUUCUUGAAUGCAAUGUAACUUGAUUUCCAAGACGAAUGACUUUCCCUCAAA
This is a long non-coding RNA of Lathyrus oleraceus (garden pea), 832 nucleotides long. RefSeq lists it as uncharacterized. Lineage: Eukaryota; Viridiplantae; Streptophyta; Magnoliopsida; Fabales; Fabaceae. The transcript has 2 exons. The record is from RefSeq and is a predicted model, not a curated record.